RNAcentral lists this transfer RNA (88 nucleotides) under Actinomycetota bacterium. RNAcentral's name for it is "Actinobacteria bacterium tRNA-OTHER". The record is from RNAcentral. Lineage: Bacteria; Bacillati; Actinomycetota.
GGAAAUACCUGUAAUCGGGCGAAGAGGUCUCGAAAACCGUUGAGCCCUUCGCGGGGCUCCGUGGGUUCGAAUCCCACCCUCUCCGCCA